RNAcentral lists this ribosomal RNA (649 nucleotides) under Parahaemophilus parainfluenzae. RNAcentral describes it as "Haemophilus parainfluenzae bacterial SSU rRNA". It matches the Rfam family "Bacterial small subunit ribosomal RNA", at positions 80 to 722 of the family's 1533-position model. Lineage: Bacteria; Pseudomonadati; Pseudomonadota; Gammaproteobacteria; Pasteurellales; Pasteurellaceae. The record is from RNAcentral.
UUGCUUCUUUGAUGACGAGUGGCGGACGGGUGAGUAAUGCUUGGGAAUCUAGCUUAUGGAGGGGGAUAACUACGGGAAACUGUAGCUAAUACCGCGUAAUAUCGAAAGAUUAAAGUGUGGGACCUUCGGGCCACAUGCCAUAAGAUGAGCCCAAGUGGGAUUAGGUAGUUGGUGAGGUAAAGGCUCACCAAGCCGACGAUCUCUAGCUGGUCUGAGAGGAUGACCAGCCACACUGGGACUGAGACACGGCCCAGACUCCUACGGGAGGCAGCAGUGGGGAAUAUUGCGCAAUGGGGGCAACCCUGACGCAGCCAUGCCGCGUGAAUGAAGAAGGCCUUCGGGUUGUAAAGUUCUUUCGGUAGCGAGGAAGGCAUUUAGUUUAAUAGACUAGAUGAUUGACGUUAACUACAGAAGAAGCACCGGCUAACUCCGUGCCAGCAGCCGCGGUAAUACGGAGGGUGCGAGCGUUAAUCGGAAUAACUGGGCGUAAAGGGCACGCAGGCGGUGACUUAAGUGAGGUGUGAAAGCCCCGGGCUUAACCUGGGAAUUGCAUUUCAUACUGGGUCGCUAGAGUACUUUAGGGAGGGGUAGAAUUCCACGUGUAGCGGUGAAAUGCGUAAAGAUGUGGAGGAAUACCGAAGGCGAAGGC